Molecule: ribosomal RNA, 458 nt
Filed under: uncultured bacterium
Lineage: Bacteria
Description: bacterial SSU rRNA
Rfam family: Bacterial small subunit ribosomal RNA
Source: RNAcentral
AACGAACGCUGGCGGCAUGCCUAACACAUGCAAGUCGAACGAAGCCUUCGGGCUUAGUGGCGCACGGGUGCGUAACGCGUGGGAAUCUGCCCUUAGGUACGGAAUAACUCAUGGAAACGUGUGCUAAUACCGUAUGAUGUCUUCGGACCAAAGAUUUAUCGCCUAGGGAUGAGCCCGCGUUGGAUUAGCUAGUUGGUGAGGUAAAGGCUCACCAAGGCGACGAUCCAUAGCUGGUCUGAGAGGAUGAUCAGCCACACUGGGACUGAGACACGGCCCAGACUCCUACGGGAGGCAGCAGUGGGGAAUAUUGGACAAUGGGCGAAAGCCUGAUCCAGCAAUGCCGCGUGAGUGAAGAAGGCCUUCGGGUUGUAAGCUCUUUUACCCGGAAGAGUAAUGACUGUACCGGGAGAAUAAGCCCGGCUAACUCCGUGCCAGCAGCCGCGGUAAGCUCGUCUCUA